RNAcentral lists this ribosomal RNA (454 nucleotides) under Staphylococcus ureilyticus. Its description in RNAcentral is "bacterial SSU rRNA". It matches the Rfam family "Bacterial small subunit ribosomal RNA", at positions 35 to 476 of the family's 1533-position model. The record is from RNAcentral. Lineage: Bacteria; Bacillati; Bacillota; Bacilli; Caryophanales; Staphylococcaceae.
GCUGGCGGCGUGCCUAAUACAUGCAAGUCGAGCGAACAGAUAAGGAGCUUGCUCCUUUGACGUUAGCGGCGGACGGGUGAGUAACACGUGGGUAACCUACCUAUAAGACUGGAAUAACUCCGGGAAACCGGGGCUAAUGCCGGAUAACAUUUAGAACCGCAUGGUUCUAAAGUGAAAGAUGGUUUUGCUAUCACUUAUAGAUGGACCCGCGCCGUAUUAGCUAGUUGGUAAGGUAACGGCUUACCAAGGCAACGAUACGUAGCCGACCUGAGAGGGUGAUCGGCCACACUGGAACUGAGACACGGUCCAGACUCCUACGGGAGGCAGCAGUAGGGAAUCUUCCGCAAUGGGCGAAAGCCUGACGGAGCAACGCCGCGUGAGUGAUGAAGGUCUUCGGAUCGUAAAACUCUGUUAUUAGGGAAGAACAAAUGUGUAAGUAACUGUGCACGUCUGA